Molecule: ribosomal RNA, 1123 nt
Filed under: bacterium
Lineage: Bacteria
Description: bacterial SSU rRNA
Rfam family: Bacterial small subunit ribosomal RNA
Source: RNAcentral
GGUAGCACAGAGAGCUUGCUCUCGGGUGACGAGUGGCGGACGGGUGAGUAAUGUCUGGGAAACUGCCUGAUGGAGGGGGAUAACUACUGGAAACGGUAGCUAAUACCGCAUAACGUCGCAAGACCAAAGAGGGGGACCUUCGGGCCUCUUGCCAUCAGAUGUGCCCAGAUGGGAUUAGCUAGUAGGUGGGGUAAUGGCUCACCUAGGCGACGAUCCCUAGCUGGUCUGAGAGGAUGACCAGCCACACUGGAACUGAGACACGGUCCAGACUCCUACGGGAGGCAGCAGUGGGGAAUAUUGCACAAUGGGCGCAAGCCUGAUGCAGCCAUGCCGCGUGUAUGAAGAAGGCCUUCGGGUUGUAAAGUACUUUCAGCGGGGAGGAAGGUGUUGCGGUUAAUAACCGCAGCAAUUGACGUUACCCGCAGAAGAAGCACCGGCUAACUCCGUGCCAGCAGCCGCGGUAAUACGGAGGGUGCAAGCGUUAAUCGGAAUUACUGGGCGUAAAGCGCACGCAGGCGGUCUGUCAAGUCGGAUGUGAAAUCCCCGGGCUCAACCUGGGAACUGCAUUCGAAACUGGCAGGCUAGAGUCUUGUAGAGGGGGGUAGAAUUCCAGGUGUAGCGGUGAAAUGCGUAGAGAUCUGGAGGAAUACCGGUGGCGAAGGCGGCCCCCUGGACAAAGACUGACGCUCAGGUGCGAAAGCGUGGGGAGCAAACAGGAUUAGAUACCCUGGUAGUCCACGCCGUAAACGAUGUCGACUUGGAGGUUGUUCCCUUGAGGAGUGGCUUCCGGAGCUAACGCGUUAAGUCGACCGCCUGGGGAGUACGGCCGCAAGGUUAAAACUCAAAUGAAUUGACGGGGGCCCGCACAAGCGGUGGAGCAUGUGGUUUAAUUCGAUGCAACGCGAAGAACCUUACCUACUCUUGACAUCCAGAGAACUUUCCAGAGAUGGAUUGGUGCCUUCGGGAACUCUGAGACAGGUGCUGCAUGGCUGUCGUCAGCUCGUGUUGUGAAAUGUUGGGUUAAGUCCCGCAACGAGCGCAACCCUUAUCCUUUGUUGCCAGCGGUUAGGCCGGGAACUCAAAGGAGACUGCCAGUGAUAAACUGGAGGAAGGUGGGGAUGAC